This 173-nucleotide non-coding RNA is filed under the name Durinskia baltica. Lineage: Eukaryota; Dinophyceae; Peridiniales; Kryptoperidiniaceae. The record is from RNAcentral. RNAcentral also lists the same sequence under 1 other name.
AAAGCAGUAAAACAGACUUGGCUACCAACAAAUACCACUCGGUAGCAUUGAUGGGAUGCUCUCUUCUGACCCACUUUUCUUCAGUGCAGUUUCCUUUUUUUUCCCCUCUUUUAGUUAGUGAUGCUUCUAUAUGGUCAUGAAAUGAUGUGUGAUAGUGCCUUGAAGGAAUGUAA